RNAcentral lists this ribosomal RNA (483 nucleotides) under uncultured bacterium. RNAcentral's name for it is "partial 16S ribosomal RNA". It matches the Rfam family "Bacterial small subunit ribosomal RNA", at positions 28 to 507 of the family's 1533-position model. The record is from RNAcentral.
GACGAACGCUGGCGGCGUGCUUAACACAUGCAAGUCGAACGCUGAAGCUCAGCUUUUGUUGGGUGGAUGAGUGGCGAACGGGUGAGUAACACGUGAGUAACCUGCCCCCUUCUUUGGGAUAACGCCCGGAAACGGGUGCUAAUACUGGAUAUUCACUGGUCUUCGCAUGGGGGUUGGUGGAAAGGGUUUUUCUGGUGGGGGAUGGGCUCGCGGCCCAUCAGCUUGUUGGUGGGGUGAUGGCCUACCAAGGCUUUGACGGGUAGCCGGCCUGAGAGGGUGACCGGUCACAUUGGGACUGAGAUACGGCCCAGACUCCUACGGGAGGCAGCAGUGGGGAAUAAUGCACAAUGGGCGCAAGCCUGAUGCAGCGACGCCGCGUGAGGGAUGGAGGCCUUCGGGUUGUGAACCUCUUUCGCUCAUGGUCAAGCCACAACAAUGGUUGUGGUGAGGGUAGUGGGUAAAGAAGCGCCGGCUAACUACGUG